UGGGGAAUAUUGCACAAUGGGCGCAAGCCUGAUGCAGCCAUGCCGCGUGUAUGAAGAAGGCCUUCGGGUUGUAAAGUACUUUCAGCGAGGAGGAAGGCAUUAAGGUUAAUAACCUUAGUGAUUGACGUUACUCGCAGAAGAAGCACCGGCUAACUCCGUGCCAGCAGCCGCGGUAAUACGGAGGGUGCAAGCGUUAAUCGGAAUUACUGGGCGUAAAGCGCACGCAGGCGGUCUGUCAAGUCGGAUGUGAAAUCCCCGGGCUCAACCUGGGAACUGCAUUCGAAACUGGCAGGCUAGAGUCUUGUAGAGGGGGUAGAAUUCCAGGUGUAGCGGUGAAAUUGCGUAGAGAUCUGGAGGAAUACCGGUGGCGAAGGCGGCCCCCUGGACAAAGACUGACGCUCAGGUGCGAAAGCGUGGGAGCAAAACA
This 427-nucleotide ribosomal RNA is filed under the name uncultured Raoultella sp. RNAcentral's name for it is "bacterial SSU rRNA". It matches the Rfam family "Bacterial small subunit ribosomal RNA", at positions 355 to 774 of the family's 1533-position model. Lineage: Bacteria; Pseudomonadati; Pseudomonadota; Gammaproteobacteria; Enterobacterales; Enterobacteriaceae. The record is from RNAcentral.